GGUUAAGUUAGAAAGGGCGCACGGUGGAUGCCUUGGCACUAGGAGCCGAAGAAGGACGGGACUAACACCGAUAUGCUUUGGGGAGCUGUACGUAAGCGUUGAUCCAGAGAUUUCCGAAUGGGGGAACCCACUAUCUUUAGUCGGAUAGUAUCCUUACGUGAAUACAUAGCGUGAGGAAGGCAGACCCAGGGAACUGAAACAUCUAAGUACCUGGAGGAAGAGAAAGAAAAAUCGAUUUCCUGAGUAGCGGCGAGCGAAACGGAAAGAGCCCAAACCAAGAAGCUUGCUUCUUGGGGUUGUAGGACACUCUAUACGGAGUUAC
Molecule: ribosomal RNA, 322 nt
Filed under: Listeria monocytogenes
Lineage: Bacteria; Bacillati; Bacillota; Bacilli; Caryophanales; Listeriaceae
Description: partial 23S ribosomal RNA
Rfam family: Bacterial large subunit ribosomal RNA
Source: RNAcentral